Molecule: ribosomal RNA, 1472 nt
Filed under: uncultured bacterium
Lineage: Bacteria
Description: partial 16S ribosomal RNA
Rfam family: Bacterial small subunit ribosomal RNA
Source: RNAcentral
AGAGUUUGAUCAUGGCUCAGGACGAACGCUGGCGGUGCGCCUUAUGCAUGCAAGUUGAGCGAAGCUUUUUUGUAGUUUACUACGAAAAAUGACUGAGCGGCGAACGGGUGAGUAACGCGUGAGCAAUCUACCUUAGUUACUGGGAUAGCCCGAGGAAACUCGGAUUAAUACCGGAUAUUCUUAUUUUUUCACAUGAAGUUUUAAGGAAAGGUCAGCCGAACUAAGAUGAGCUCGCGUUCUAUCAGCUAGUUGGUGGGGUAAAAGCCUACCAAGGCUACGACGGAUAGCUGGUCUGAGAGGACGAUCAGCCACACUAGGACUGAGACACGGCCCAGACUCCUACGGGAGGCUGCAGCAGGGAAUAUUGUGCAAUGAGCGAAAGCUUGACACAGCGACACCGCGUGUGGGAUGACGGUUCUAGGAUUGUAAACCACUUUCAGGAGGGAAGAAAAUGACGGUACCUCCACAAGAAGACCCGGCCAACUAUGUGCCAGCAGCCGCGGUAAUACAUAGGGGUCAAGCGUUGUCCGGAUUUAUUGGGCGUAAAGAGCUCGUAGGCGGUUCAACAAGUCGGUCGUAAAAGUUUAGGGCUCAACCCUAAAAUGUCGAUCGAUACUGUUGUGACUAGGAUACGGUAGAGGUGAAUGGAAUUCCGAGUGUAGCGGUGAAAUGCGUAGAUAUUCGGAGGAACACCAAUUGCGAAGGCAGUUCACUGGACCGUGAUCGACGCUGAGGAGCGAAAGCUAGGGGAGCAAACAGGAUUAGAUACCCUGGUAGUCCUAGCUGUAAACGAUGGAUACUAGAUGUAGGAACUGGAUUGACGGUCUCUGUAUCGUAGCUAACGCGUUAAGUAUCCCGCCUGGGGAGUACGGUCGCAAGAUUAAAACUCAAAGGAAUAGACGGGGACCCGCACAAGCGGUGGAGCAUGUGGUUUAAUUCGACGAUACGCGAAGAACCUUACCUGGACUUGACAUAUAUACAGGUGCUGCACGGCUGUCGUCAGCUCGUGUCGUGAGAUGUUGGGUUAAGUCCCGCAACGAGCGCAACCCUCGUCCUUAGUUGCUAACAGUUCGGCUGAGAACUCUAAGGAGACUGCCUGGGUAACCAGGAGGAAGGUGAGGACGACGUCAAGUCAUCAUGGCCCUUACGUCCAGGGCUACACACGUGCUACAAUGGGGCAUACAAAGAGCUGCGAUACCGCGAGGUGGAGCAAAUCUCAAAAAUGCCUCCCAGUUCGGAUAGCACUCUGCAACUCGAGUGCUUGAAGUUGGAAUCGCUAGUAAUCGUAGAUCAGCAAUGCUCCGGUGAAUACGUUCCCGGGUCUUGUACUCACCGCCCGUCACACCAUGGGAGUUGAACUCAUUCGAAGCCGGGGAUGCUAACUGUGUUACCUUAAGGAAUUUAUUUCUUAAGAAGCCAGAGGCUACCCUCCACAGUGGAUUCAGCGACUGGGGUGAAGUCGUAACAAGGUA